GGGGUUGUGGCUCAGUGGCAGAGCGCUUGCCUAGCAUGUAUGAGGCACUGGGUUCAAUUCUCAGCACCA
Molecule: transfer RNA, 69 nt
Filed under: Urocitellus parryii (Arctic ground squirrel)
Lineage: Eukaryota; Metazoa; Chordata; Mammalia; Rodentia; Sciuridae
Also listed under: 1 other name
Description: Spermophilus parryii (Arctic ground squirrel) tRNA
Rfam family: tRNA
About the family: Transfer RNA (tRNA) molecules are approximately 80 nucleotides in length. Their secondary structure includes four short double-helical elements and three loops (D, anti-codon, and T loops). Further hydrogen bonds mediate the characteristic L-shaped molecular structure. tRNAs have two regions of fundamental functional importance: the anti-codon, which is responsible for specific mRNA codon recognition, and the 3' end, to which the tRNAs corresponding amino acid is attached (by aminoacyl-tRNA synthetases). tRNAs cope with the degeneracy of the genetic code in two manners: having more than one tRNA (with a specific anti-codon) for a particular amino acid; and 'wobble' base-pairing, i.e. permitting non-standard base-pairing at the 3rd anti-codon position.
Source: Rfam by way of RNAcentral